UACGUAGGGGGCAAGCGUUGUCCGGAUUUAUUGGGCGUAAAGCGCGUGUAGGCGGCCAGGUAGGUCGGUUGUGAAAACUGGAGGCUUAACCUCCAGACGUCGACCGAAACCAUCUGGCUAGAGUCCGGAAGAGGAGAGUGGAAUUCCUGGUGUAGCGGUGAAAUGCGCAGAUAUCAGGAGGAACACCGGUGGCGAAGGCGGGGCUCUGGGCCGAUAUUGACGCUGAGGAGCGAAAGCGUGGGGAGCGAACAGG
Molecule: ribosomal RNA, 253 nt
Filed under: uncultured bacterium
Lineage: Bacteria
Description: partial 16S ribosomal RNA
Rfam family: Bacterial small subunit ribosomal RNA
Source: RNAcentral